UACGUAGGUGGCAAGCGUUGUCCGGAUUUAUUGGGUUUAAAGGGCGCGUAGGCGGUUCGUUAAGUUGCUGGUGAAAUCCCGGGGCUCAACUCCGGGGCUGCCAGUAAGACUGGCGGGCUAGAGCACGGUAGAGGCGGAUGGAAUUCCCGGUGUAGCGGUGGAAUGCGUAGAUAUCGGGAAGAAUACCGGUGGCGAAGGCGUUCCGCUGGGCCGUUGCUGACGCUGAGGCGCGACAGCGUGGGGAGCAAACAGG
Molecule: ribosomal RNA, 253 nt
Filed under: uncultured bacterium
Lineage: Bacteria
Description: partial 16S ribosomal RNA
Rfam family: Bacterial small subunit ribosomal RNA
Source: RNAcentral